This is a long non-coding RNA of Ictalurus punctatus (channel catfish), 1125 nucleotides long. The record is from Ensembl. NCBI's taxonomy places the organism in Eukaryota, Metazoa, Chordata, Actinopteri, Siluriformes, Ictaluridae.
AAUGCAAACACAAGCAUACUUCCAUUUUCACACUUGUGUCGUUAUAUGACUCCGGUCACUGUGUUCAGUUUCUGAGCUGUGUAAUUCAGGAAAUUGUAAUGUUUAUUCUGAGGCGAUAAGUGAAGUACGAGGCCUAAUAGGCCGGCACUUGUACUGGGAAAAGGUGUGGCCCGUGGCUGUUCAUGACCAGUAAUACAGGAAAGGUGUACACACGGAGUUAGAAAGGCAGAGAGAAACAGACAGAGGUGAUCAGGACUCAACAGAAGCAACAGGACUCAGAGCCUCUACUCCUCUGGGAAGGCUUUCCACUAGAUUUUGGACCACGGUUAUGGGAAUUCACCAAGAGCAUUAGCGAAGUCAGGCACUGAUGUUACUAAAGAAGAGCAGGUGCACAAUUCAUGUCAAAGGAGUUCAGGACUCUUGAAAAACAAACACUUAACAAACACUUACACACAUUCUUGGCAAGCCAUACAUGCUUUGUGCGCAAAGGUGUAGUCGUGCCAGAACAGGUUUGAUUCAAUUGAAGGCUACGAUGCUACAUCAUACAAAAACAUUCUAUUCAAUUCAAUUCAGUUUUAUUUGUAUAGCGCUUUUAAAAAUAGACAUUGCCCCAAAGCAGCUUUGCAGAAAUAUAUAAAUUCAGGAUAUACAUUUUAAAUGUAUGAAUUUGUCCCUAAUGAGCGAGUCGGUGGUGACGGUGGCGAGGAAAAACUCCCUGAGGCGAUAUAAGGAAGAAACCUUGAGAGGAACCAGACUCAAAAGGGAACCCGUCCUCAUCUGGGUGAUGCUACAUGCUCAAAUAGUGCAGUUGUGUAACCAGGAAAAUUCCUUACAGUUUUUACAUGAAGUCUGUCUUGUUGAACUUCUCCACUGUUCACUAACGGAGAACUGCUUGUGGUUACUGCAGGCCGAAAGCUAUCAUAGCAAUUGUCGUCCUGGCCAUCACAGUGUAAAUGUUCAUUCUAGACACUUGUUUACUUCAAACCUUGUGGUAACCGUUUACUGAAGAACCACAUAUGGGUGUGAUGGUCAGGAGUCCAAGCAUAUAUAAGAUUAUAAUAUUUUAAUAUAACUAACCUAGCACAAACAGUCGUAUUUACAGACCAAACUAAUGUAUUGGCGAAC